UAAAAUUUUGGUUUCAUCAAAUUCCCCCAUGUCUCUCUAAACACUCUCUUUCCGAUUCUCUUAGCCUAUCUCUUACAUUCCUAGUUCUUUCAGGCACUUCAUAUUAUAUCCCUUAUACAAAAAAAAAAUUAGAAGUUGUUGCUGCACAUACAACUCUAGUUGCUUCUCCUCUCAUAGCCUUCCUUCAGAUGAACAUACACACAGACCUGCUAGAAAAAGGAUCUUAAUCACCCAAAGAACAGUACAACAUGGCUAUCUUAAAAAGUUAUCAUGCAAACAAGAAAUAGAUUUUGGAACUCUAUAGAAUCUUUCAAAUGAAGAUAUAUGCACAGCUCAAAAAACACCUUUACUACCUGCAAGUUUCCGUUGAGAAAGUUGUAAACUCCUAGUAGAAGGACACUACUUACAAAUUUGGUCUCAUCAAAAUUGGCAUAUGCUCUUGCCAUUCAGCGGUGAAGGAGAUACACUAUUGAGACUAGAAGAUGUCAUGAACAGUGAAGAACAAAUUAACACAGAGCCAGGAUCACCGGUUUCUAUCGACAGUACUCAUCGGGACUUUUAGCAAGUGAUGAGUUUUCAACAAAAGAUACAAAGUGAUAAGUAUGAACAAAUUUAAGGGUCAUUUAUGAAAUUAUAGUUGUCGUAUAGAAUUAUCAUUUUCUACUUUUACAGAUGUGUCAUCAUUCUAUAGGGUGUGCAUUCGUUUUUUACUUUAUGUAAUUUCACGUUUUGUCGAUCGAAUAUUUUGUAAUUGUAAAUCUUACGCUACCCUUUGCCUAUAUAAAGGGUUGCAGACUAUUGUAAAAUGCAUCGAAUAUCCAUAAUAAAAUUUUGGUUUUAUCAAA
This is a non-coding RNA of Lactuca sativa (garden lettuce), 845 nucleotides long. The record is from RefSeq and is a predicted model, not a curated record. NCBI's taxonomy places the organism in Eukaryota, Viridiplantae, Streptophyta, Magnoliopsida, Asterales, Asteraceae.